Molecule: non-coding RNA, 125 nt
Filed under: Vombatus ursinus (common wombat)
Lineage: Eukaryota; Metazoa; Chordata; Mammalia; Diprotodontia; Vombatidae
Source: RNAcentral
GUGUUGUAUGAAAGAAGAGGUUAGCACUCCCCCUGAUAAGGAUGGAAGAGGUCCUAGUGGCCUUUACAAUACAUAUACAGUUAAGGCAUUGCCACCUACUUCGUGGCAUCUAACCAUGUUUUUGA